RNAcentral lists this ribosomal RNA (253 nucleotides) under uncultured bacterium. RNAcentral's name for it is "partial 16S ribosomal RNA". It matches the Rfam family "Bacterial small subunit ribosomal RNA", at positions 524 to 776 of the family's 1533-position model. The record is from RNAcentral.
GACAGAGGUGCCGAGCGUUAGGCGGAAUCACUGGGCUUAAAGCGUGUGUAGGCGGAUCUGUAAGUACCUUGUGAAAUCCCACAGCUCAACUGUGGAACUGCUUGGUAUACUGCUUUUCUUGAGCCACUUAGGGGCUACCGGAACAAAUGGUGGAGCGGUGAAAUGCGUAGAUAUCAUUUGGAACGCCAAUGGUGAAAACAGGUAGCUGGGAGUGUGCUGACGCUGAGACACGAAAGCCAGGGGAGCGAACGGG